CACAAUCCGGGUCCAAUGUCACUUCUCCUCAUUAUGUUAAUAGUUAAUACAUGCAAAUGAAAACACUCUAGCAAUUUGAUUUCUUUGAAGAUAGUUUGCAUAUUGUCUUAGCCAUAAUGACUGUACACUUCUCUCAGCCUCCAUUUAUGCAAGGGUAGUGUAGUUCAUUUUUAUCAGCUCCAGUUCAUUUUGGCUGCUAUUGGAAUGUAUGUGCAUGUUUCUUUUUUACCUUUUGCCUAAUUACCAUUCAGGUACCAUAAGCAGAUUUUUCAUGCUAUUGGUGUUUUUCUUAAUUAAGAAACAAAUGAAUUCUCCCUAGCAAAAAAAGAUGGAACAACAGAAUAAGAUGCCAGGGGCUGAUGUUCUGUUUCUUAAUUGAAGCAGUUCUAUUGUUCGGUGUCGGUAGUGAGGGGGCUGAAAUGUCAUAAGUGUAGAAUGUUAAUAGUACAAAAAUAACAUAAAACUACUUUUAAAAAUAAAGAAUACAAAACAAUGCUGUAAGAGCUUUGAAAACAUAGAUUUUUAUCCACAUAUUAAUUCUGACAGUAACAAAGUAGCUUCAUUUACAAAUCCCUCACACUUAGAAAGCCUGAGGUUCUAACCCCAGUCCUGAGAGAUAUGCCUGCCCCACUCUGCUGGUCUAGUUAACAGUGUCCUACUUAUUUACUCUUCAUCAAUUAAGGAAGCACCCAGGGGAACAAUUUGUUUCUUUAAUUUGUGAAUAAACCAUUGCUACUUUAAUUUGCAUUCUUCUUUUUUUCUACCCACAGUAAAAUCUCAAUGUCCUACCAGUAUAUUCAAUAUGCCUUACUACAACCUUAAGGGGCAUCCUUUCAAACCCCACUGACACUCUAAGCUUUGGUCUCUCCAUGUACUCCUUCAUUUCCUUCUGCUGCUGUUGCUGCUGCUGCUGCUACUGCCCACGAGAACACUUGAGAUAGCUUGGAAGACUUUCAAGGAUAAAAAAAUCCUUAAUAAGGUACGAAAAAGAGCAACACAUUGGGCCCAGGGCCAAUUUAAAACUAUGUCUGCAUAUAAUAAUAUGUAUAAAAAUAAGCAUCUUAAAAUCACUCAGAAGGCAAAACAUUUGAUAGGGGUGAGAGAUGAACUCUU
This 1113-nucleotide long non-coding RNA is filed under the name Homo sapiens (human). RNAcentral describes it as "HSALNT0141680". Lineage: Eukaryota; Metazoa; Chordata; Mammalia; Primates; Hominidae. The record is from RNAcentral.